AACGUAGGAGGCAAGCGUUAUCCGGAGUUACUGGGCGUAAAGCGCACGUAGGCGGUUGGGUAAGUCGGAUGUGAAAGCCCUGGGCUUAACCUGGGAACUGCAUUCGAUACUGCUCGGCUAGAGUAUGGGAGAGGGAAGCGGAAUUUCCGGUGUAGCGGUGAAAUGCGUAGAUAUCGGAAGGAACACCAAUGGCGAAGGCAGCUUCCUGGCCCAAUACUGACGCUCAGGUGCGAAAGCGUGGGGAUCAAACAGG
This 253-nucleotide ribosomal RNA is filed under the name uncultured bacterium. RNAcentral describes it as "partial 16S ribosomal RNA". It matches the Rfam family "Bacterial small subunit ribosomal RNA", at positions 524 to 776 of the family's 1533-position model. The record is from RNAcentral.